This 555-nucleotide ribosomal RNA is filed under the name Penicillium toxicarium. Its description in RNAcentral is "eukaryotic LSU rRNA". The stretch from base 177 to 330 matches the Rfam family "5.8S ribosomal RNA". Lineage: Eukaryota; Fungi; Ascomycota; Eurotiomycetes; Eurotiales; Aspergillaceae. The record is from RNAcentral.
GGGCUGGCGGAUGAGGACUCUGGGUCACCUCCCACCCGUGUUUAUCGUACCUUGUUGCUUCGGCGGGCCCGCCGCAAGGCCGCCGGGGGGCAUCUGCCCUCUGGCCCGCGCCCGCCGAAGACACCAUUGAACGCUGUCUGAAGAUUGCAGUCUGAGCAAUUAGUUAAAUAACUUAAAACUUUCAACAACGGAUCUCUUGGUUCCGGCAUCGAUGAAGAACGCAGCGAAAUGCGAUACGUAAUGUGAAUUGCAGAAUUCAGUGAAUCAUCGAGUCUUUGAACGCACAUUGCGCCCCCUGGUAUUCCGGGGGGCAUGCCUGUCCGAGCGUCAUUGCUGCCCUCAAGCACGGCUUGUGUGUUGGGCUCCGUCCUCCUUCCGGGGGACGGGCCCGAAAGGCAGCGGCGGCACCGCGUCCGGUCCUCGAGCGUAUGGGGCUUCGUCACCCGCUCUGCAGGCCCGGCCGGCGCUUGCCGACACAUCAAUCUUUUUUCCAGGUUGACCUCGGAUCAGGUAGGGAUACCCGCUGAACUUAAGCAUAUCAAUAAGGCGGAGGAA